GGAAGCUUGCUUCCUAUGAAAUCGAGUGGCAAACGGGUGAGUAACGCGUAAACAACCUGCCCUUCGGAUGGGGAUAACAGCCGGAAACGGCUGCUAAUACCGAAUACGAUCUUUUCGUCGCAUGACGGAAAGAAGAAAGGAUGGCCUCUAUACAAAGCUAUCGCCGAAGGAGGGGUUUGCGUCUGAUUAGCUGGUUGGAGGGGUAACGGCCCAACAAGGCGAUGAUCAGUAGCCGGUCUGAGAGGAUGAACGGCCACAUUGGGACUGAGACACGGCCCAGACUCCUACGGGAGGCAGCAGUGGGGAAUCUUCCGCAAUGGACGAAAGUCUGACGGAGCAACGCCGCGUGAGUGAAGAAGGUCUUCGGAUUGUAAAGCUCUGUUAUACGGGACGAAAAAGACGGAUGCCAACAGUAUCCGUCCGUGACGGUACCGUAAGAGAAAGCCACGGCUAACUACGUGCCAGCAGCCGCGGUAAUACGUAGGUGGCAAGCGUUGUCCGGAAUUAUUGGGCGUAAAGGGCGCGCAGGCGGUUCGGUAAGUCUGUCUUAAAAGUGCGGGGCUUAACCCCGUGAGGGGACGGAAACUGUCGAACUUGAGUGUCGGAGAGGAAAGCGGAAUUCCUAGUGUAGCGGUGAAAUGCGUAGAUAUUAGGAGGAACACCGGUGGCGAAAGCGGCUUUCUGGAC
RNAcentral lists this ribosomal RNA (687 nucleotides) under uncultured bacterium. Its description in RNAcentral is "bacterial SSU rRNA". It matches the Rfam family "Bacterial small subunit ribosomal RNA", at positions 74 to 734 of the family's 1533-position model. The record is from RNAcentral.